Molecule: ribosomal RNA, 1273 nt
Filed under: metagenome
Description: bacterial LSU rRNA
Rfam family: Bacterial large subunit ribosomal RNA
Source: RNAcentral
CCUACACGACCGUACCGCAAACCGACACUGGUGCGCGAGAUGAGUAUUCUAAGGCGCUUGAGAGAACUCAGGAGAAGGAACUCGGCAAAUUGACACCGUAACUUCGGAAGAAGGUGUGCCUUUAGUAGGUGAACCAUCUACUUGGGGAGCCCAAUGAGGCUGCAAAAAAUCGGUGGCUGCAACUGUUUAUUAAAAACACAGCACUCUGCUAAGACGAAAGUCGACGUAUAGGGUGUGACGCCUGCCCGGUGCUGGAAGAUUAAAUGAUGGGGUGCAAGCUCUUGAUUGAAGUCCCAGUAAACGGCGGCCGUAACGAUAACGGUCCUAAGGUAGCGAAAUUCCUUGUCGGGUAAGUUCCGACCUGCACGAAUGGCGUAAUGAUGGCCACACUGUCUCCUCCUGAGACUCAGCGAAGUUGAAAUGUUUGUGAUGAUGCAAUCUCCCCGCGGAAAGACGGAAAGACCCCAUGAACCUUUACUGUAGCUUUGUAUUGGACUUUGAACAGAUCUGUGUAGGAUAGGUGGGAGGCUUUGAAGUGUGGUCGCUAGAUCGCAUGGAGCCAACGUUGAAAUACCACCCUGGUGUGUUUGAGGUUCUAACCUAGGUCCAUUAUCUGGAUCGGGGACAGUGCAUGGUAGGCAGUUUGACUGGGGCGGUCUCCUCCCAAAGUGUAACGGAGGAGUUCGAAGGUACGCUAGGUACGGUCGGACAUCGUGCUAAUAGUGCAAUGGCAUAAGCGUGCUUAACUGCGAGACUGACAAGUCGAGCAGAUGCGAAAGCAGGACAUAGUGAUCCGGUGGUUCUGUAUGGAAGGGCCAUCGCUCAACGGAUAAAAGGUACUCUGGGGAUAACAGGCUGAUACCGCCCAAGAGUUCAUAUCGACGGCGGUGUUUGGCACCUCGAUGUCGGCUCAUCUCAUCCUGGGGCUGUAGCCGGUCCCAAGGGUAUGGCUGUUCGCCAUUUAAAGAGGUACGUGAGCUGGGUUUAAAACGUCGUGAGACAGUUUGGUCCCUAUCUUCCGUGGGCGCUGCAGAUUUGAGGAAGCCUGCUCCUAGUACGAGAGGACCGGAGUGGACGAACCUCUGGUGUAUCGGUUGUCACGCCAGUGGCAUUGCCGAGUAGCUAAGUUCGGAAGAGAUAACCGCUGAAAGCAUCUAAGCGGGAAACUCGUUUCAAGAUUAGAUCUGCCGGGGCCUUGAGCCCCCUAAAGAGUCGUUCAAGACCAGGACGUUGAUAGGUCAGGUGUGGAAGCGAAAAAAAAAAAAGAAAAAAG